Long non-coding RNA from Thalassophryne amazonica, 136 nucleotides. RefSeq lists it as uncharacterized. The transcript is spliced from 3 exons. Lineage: Eukaryota; Metazoa; Chordata; Actinopteri; Batrachoidiformes; Batrachoididae. The record is from RefSeq and is a predicted model, not a curated record.
AGACAUAUAUUGACGCCAGAGGGAGCUGGAUUUGAGCGGGAUUCACCAAAGGUGUGAACGCAAAUGUGGCUAUAAUCCAGCUCGCUCAGGGAUCAUGAUGUCAUACCUCCUCACUAUGUUUGUACACUGACAGGUU